This 498-nucleotide ribosomal RNA is filed under the name uncultured bacterium. Its description in RNAcentral is "partial 16S ribosomal RNA". It matches the Rfam family "Bacterial small subunit ribosomal RNA", at positions 30 to 523 of the family's 1533-position model. The record is from RNAcentral.
AUUGAACGCUGGCGGCAUGCCUUACACAUGCAAGUCGAACGGUAACAGGUCUUCGGAUGCUGACGAGUGGCGAACGGGUGAGUAAUACAUCGGAACGUGCCUAGUAGUGGGGGAUAACUACUCGAAAGAGUGGCUAAUACCGCAUGAGAUCUACGGAUGAAAGCAGGGGAUCGCAAGACCUUGUGCUACUAGAGCGGCCGAUGGCAGAUUAGGUAGUUGGUGGGAUAAAAGCUUACCAAGCCGACGAUCUGUAGCUGGUCUGAGAGGACGAUCGGCCACACUGGGACGGGGACACGGCCCAGACUCCCACGGGAGGCAGCAGUGGGGAAUUUUGGACAAUGGGCGAAAGCCUGAUCCAGCAAUGCCGCGUGCAGGAUGAAGGCCUUCGGGUUGUAAACUGCUUUUGUACGGAACGAAAAGCCCCGGGUUAAUACCCUGGGGUCAUGACGGUACCGUAAGAAUAAGCACCGGCUAACUACGUGCCAGCCGCCGCAGUAA